This 1054-nucleotide long non-coding RNA is filed under the name Cyanistes caeruleus (blue tit). RNAcentral describes it as "lncRNA (ENSCCEG00000015046.1)". Lineage: Eukaryota; Metazoa; Chordata; Aves; Passeriformes; Paridae. The record is from RNAcentral.
CUCUUGAGUAAAGUAUUUACUGGAGUCAAACAUUCAUGUUGUCAAUCAAAUCAAUUAAUGUCAUUGAUCAAAUUUUCAGUGUUAUUCCUGCUGAAUAUUUAAUUCAGUAAGAGUUCUGACCUCAAGAAAAAGUCAAAUUUAAGAGCAGUGGUCUGUUCACUCUAAAUAAAAAUUAAAUACUUAAUUUAAAGGAAUAACUUCUACACUACAUGCACAAUUUUGGACCAUAUUUCUAUUCCUCCACAAUGGAAAAAGACUUUGUUUGGAGAGAACGAUGAAGUAAUUUUUCCCUUAUGAAGGGUAGAAUUUUAAAGAAUCAUGUUAGCAGAGAGAAACAGAAUAUAUAAAAGCACAGAUGCCUGAAGGAAGAGGCCAAAGGAGACAACCAUUAAGUAAUUGGAUUAACCUCUAUUUGGCCCUUUUCAGAUGAGUGAGAUCUAUUUUGAUAAUGUUGUUUGCUUUCUUCCAGGUUUGCACACAAUGCAGCAGCCAUUCUCAAAGACUGAAAAAUAAAUUGAAGCAUGCAUCUCAGUAAAAGUCCCUGUAUGGGGCAGUCUGUUAUUGUUGUGGUCAGAAGGACAUGUGUUCCCUUUUGCCUCUGGACAGCCCUGCUGCCCACGGAGAGCUCUGCAGUCAGCAGCCUGCCUGACAGGGUCAUGACUUCCAGAGAAUGCUGCUACUGACAUCCAUCUACGCUUCUCUCAAGUGAAAGAGAUCUCAUUCCCAUCUAAAUAUGAAAAAUCUAGAAGGUACAGAGUAAUCUGCUGUCCUGAGCCUUGACAAUAGAGUCAAUGGGUCAUUUCAGCUGUUUCUACCUUUACUGUGAAUAGCAUUGCAAAACAAGUCUCCACCAGAAACUAAGGAACUGGAGGUUAAGCGUUGAUAGUUUGAUGCCAAGGAAGCAGCACUGAAUUGCUUGACUGUUGAAUGAUUUAUAGGGUAUGUAUGAGUUUUCAUGAGGAAAGUAGAAAGAGUAGUUUUUCUGGUAAUGUUGUAAGUAUAACACAUUUUGGGAGAGAAUAAAACAGAGCAAGGUCAAUACCCUCUCCCUUUC